Molecule: ribosomal RNA, 253 nt
Filed under: uncultured bacterium
Lineage: Bacteria
Description: partial 16S ribosomal RNA
Rfam family: Bacterial small subunit ribosomal RNA
Source: RNAcentral
GACGGAGGAUGCAAGCGUUAUCCGGAAUGAUUGGGUGUAAAGCGUCCGCAGGUGGCGGUUCAAGUCUGCUGUCAAAGACCGGGGCUUAACUUCGGAAAGGCAGUGGAAACUGAACAGCUAGAGUAUGGUAGGGGCAGAGGGAAUUCCUGGUGUAGCGGUGAAAUGCGUAGAGAUCAGGAAGAACAUCGGUGGCGAAGGCGCUCUGCUGGACCAUAACUGACACUCAGGGACGAAAGCUAGGGGAGCGAAUGGG